AGGAGGUGUGCUGGGGACAGGUCCUUUCUAUAGGGAAGAGGCAGGUGUUCAUGACAUCAGUGCAGUCCCUGUAGAUUCACAGUGAGUUGACCUCUUCCUCUUCCUGGGGAGCCACAGGUCAGCUCGUACCUAACAGAGGGUGAUUUGGCUGUGAGUGUGUGACUGGGGUCUUGUGCCAUCAGUGAGAGCAGAAGCUGGUUGCAAUGAGAUAGGGGAUUUGUGUUUCAGUGCUUGGAGUUUGAAGUGCAGAUGGAAGGAAUGGGCAGGCUCUGAGGUGAGGGCAUCUGGAGAGGAGUUAUUGAGAGAUGAUAAUGUCAAACCAAACUGCAGAGGGCCUAACGUGUAGAUCUGUAUCUCAGGUCUUUUAAAACUGAAUCCAGUCCUGACCAGUUCAUCACCCAGCUGUACAGCCUCCUCUGAAGGGAGCUUUCAAGUUGGGGACAGUGGCUCACUGGAUGAUGUCAGUGACAGAUGCAUCUUGUGAGAAUAAAAUGUGCUAAGGUUCCUUCUUCCUGCUCAGAAAGGCCCUCCAGGUCUUCCACAUCUGCUCUCAUGGUGAAAAUGACUUUCUCAUGAGUUCUAUUAUAUUUACAUACAUUUGGAGACCAGGAAUUUCCUUGAACUCUGCUUUGCUUCUGUUUAAGUGCACAACUCCCCCGCUUGGAAUCUUUCAAGAUACAGUGACCUCAUCAAAAUUAACAUUUGUCCUGUGAAAGCCUGUUAGGAGGAGGAAAACAGAAAUUACAGCAAUACAGAAAACAUUCACAAACCACCUGUUCAACAAAACGCUGGCAUCUAGAUCAC
Molecule: long non-coding RNA, 804 nt
Filed under: Marmota monax (woodchuck)
Lineage: Eukaryota; Metazoa; Chordata; Mammalia; Rodentia; Sciuridae
Source: RNAcentral